UGGGGAAUCUUGCGCAAUGGGCGAAAGCCUGACGCAGCCAUGCCGCGUGAAUGAUGAAGGUCUUAGGAUUGUAAAAUUCUUUCACCGGGGACGAUAAUGACGGUACCCGGAGAAGAAGCCCCGGCUAACUUCGUGCCAGCAGCCGCGGUAAUACGAAGGGGGCUAGCGUUGCUCGGAAUUACUGGGCGUAAAGGGAGCGUAGGCGGACAUUUAAGUCAGGGGUGAAAUCCCGGGGCUCAACCUCGGAAUUGCCUUUGAUACUGGGUGUCUUGGGUAUGAGAGAGGUGUGUGGAACUCCGAGUGUAGAGGUGAAAUUCGUAGAUAUUCGGAAGAACACCAGUGGCGAAUGCGACACACUGGCUCAUUACUGACGCUGAGGCUCGAAAGCGUGGGGAGCAAACAGG
RNAcentral lists this ribosomal RNA (404 nucleotides) under Actinomycetes bacterium. RNAcentral describes it as "Actinobacteria bacterium partial 16S ribosomal RNA". It matches the Rfam family "Bacterial small subunit ribosomal RNA", at positions 355 to 776 of the family's 1533-position model. The record is from RNAcentral. Lineage: Bacteria; Bacillati; Actinomycetota; Actinomycetes.